This is a non-coding RNA of Oncorhynchus mykiss (rainbow trout), 3542 nucleotides long. The record is from RefSeq and is a predicted model, not a curated record. Lineage: Eukaryota; Metazoa; Chordata; Actinopteri; Salmoniformes; Salmonidae.
UUUCUACCUCUUGUACCAAUUAUGUUCUUUAACUUUAUACAUACGACUAAAUAAGGCUAGAUUUUUCUUUUCUUCACAAGUGUCAAACCCCACUCAUUUAGGCUUAAGGCGUUGCUUGCUGUCAAUUCACCAUCUGCCGUAAACCGAACACGCACUGCAGUAUUCCAGUUUGUGUUUGAAUUGAACUAUGAGGAUGUGGAUAUUGUUUAUCAAUAUUUUUACAUUUACUGUGUAUUUUGCAGGGAAGUAUUCAGCAUCUGCUCUUCAAGAUGUAACAACUGACUUGUUUGGGUCUGAAAAUCAUGGCACUGUGGCUGCUUUUGGUGAUUUCAACUCGGAUAAACAGACAGAUAUUUUCAUCAUCAGAGAACAAUCUGAGUUGGUGAUAUUCUUGGCUGAUCUGAAAGCCCCAUACUUCAAGCCAAAAGUACAUAUCACUAAAAAGGAUUUGCCUGUCAAUUGUAUCAUAACCAGUGUUGUUCCCGGAGACUACGAUGGAGAUUCUCAGAUGGAUGUGCUGCUUACAGUUCAGCUCAAGACCAAGGCCACCUCAGACACAAUGGUUGUUGUAUUCUGGGGAAACAACCAAACCCUGGAUGAACAAGUUGACCUUAAUAAGACAUUUGUGGACCAACCUCUGAUAAUGGACUUCAAUGGGGACAUGAUUCCAGACAUCUUUGGGGUUUCUGCUGAUUUCUCCACUGAAGUCUGCUAUCUUACUGGAAGGAACGCAGUGUGGCAGCCAGCUCUUAGUUCACCUGUCAAGAUACGUAUUCCUCAUUCCAAUGCUUUCAUCGACAUAAAUAAGGAUUUCACCGCCGAUUUGUUCCUCACAACCCAAGUUGGCAAUGGUCUGGGCUUCGAGACGUGGAUUAAUAAGGAUGGGAAUUUCACCAAAACCCAGCCCGGAAGUAUACCAGAAAAUGUCAAGAAAGUUGGCCAGUCUUCUUUUGUCGACUUUAAUGGAGAUGGGUUCCAGGACCACCUUCUUCCAGUGUGUCUGGACGAUGCAUGCCACGGGAGUGCCAUCUACCUUUCUAAGCCAGGGGAACCUGAGUGGGUGCCAGUCCUGACCGAUUUCCAGAGGAGGGAGACUCUCUGGGGCUUCGUGCCCCCCCAGACUACCCCUCCUGCUGGGGAGCUCCACAACCCCAUCACUCUGCACCUGGGAGACUACAACAUGGACGGCUUCCCUGACGCCCUGGUCAUCCUGCGCAAUACUAGCGGGAGUGGUCAGCAGGCCUUCCUCCUGGAGAAUGUUCCGUGUGACAACGCCAGCUGUAAGGAUGUGGGCCGCAUGUUUCGUGUCCACUGGGACCAGUCUGACCUGGGGGCCAUCCCCGGGGCCGCCGUGGCCACCUUCUUCGACAUCUAUGAGGAUGGAAUAUUGGAUAUGAUCGUGCUCAGCAAAGAGGAGGGGAAAGAGGGCUUCAUCAUCCACGCUUUGAAGAACAACUUUGAAGCCGACGCGUACUUCGUCAAAGUGAUUGUGCUCAGUGGACUCUGUUCUAACGACUGCCCGGGAAACGUCAAGCCGUUUGGUGUGAACCAGCCUGGACCGUAUGUUAGUUACACUACUGUGGACUCCAACGGCUACCUGAAGAACGCCUCGGCGGGCCAGCUGAGCCAGUCGGCCCACCUCUCCCUGCAGCUGCCUUACACCGUCCUGGGUCUGGGGCGCAGCGCCAACUUCCUGGACCACCUGUACGUGGGUAUCCCCCGGCCCCUCGGGGACAAGGAUGUGAGGAAGCAGGAGUGGACAGCCAUCAUCCCCAACUCGCAGCUCAUAGUCAUUCCAUACCCACACAACGAGCCCCGCAGUUGGAGUGCGAAAUUAUAUCUGACCCCCAGUAACAUAGUCCUGCUGACCGCCAUCGCUCUGAGCGGAGUGUGUGUGUUCAUCCUGGUCAUCAUUGGCAGCCUCCACUGGCAGGAGAAGCCUGAGCCAAAGCCGGUUAUGUUCUGGUCAGAGCAGUGUGUGUCCUCUCUCAUCCUCCCCACCAUUGCCAGUCCAUAGUAUCUGGUGGGGGUCUUCUCUUCUCCUGGCCCUAGGGGGUUGCUGGGGAGCUCUGGUGCUCGUCCAGAGAGCAGGAGACCCGCUGUGGGAACAGGGCUCACUCGGAGAGGAACAGAUGGGUCAGAACCAGCAGAUGGGCCCUGUCCUCUAGCCUCCCACAGAGCUCCAGCACGGCUGUUAGAAAAGCGGACGACCGGGAGAAGAGACAGGAAGCACACCGGUUCCAUUUUGAUGCCAUGUGAAGGAGCACAGGAAGAGAUGGACCAUGGGAAAAAAAGUCAUGCCAGCUUUCUGUUUUAUUUAUUUAUUUAUGUUUGCUGGUCGAUGGAAUUGUUUAUUUAUUUGAUCCUCUCGGGCUCUUGACGAUGAGCCAUUUAAAGUGUUUAUAUAUCCAUUAGACAUUAUCAAAUGUAAAAGAGACAGACAGGUUACUUCUGGUAUACUUGCACAUUUCAAGGGCCAAAAUGAUGGAUGAACUCAAAUCUAAACAGGACUACUGAGUGAAAUUACACUGAGUUAUAUCCCAGUUUACUUUUUUAUUCAAUGGUUUGGCUCAGCUCAUUAUGUAUGGUUGUCAAAUGGGCACUAACAGUUUACGUCAUGAAUUUUGCAAUAAUGUUCAAUCCAAGCCAUCCUGAUCUGCAAAACACAUUACCGAUGUGUUUGUUUUGGGGGAAGCAUUGCUAUUGUAAUUCUACUUGAAUAUUUAUGUCUGUAAACCCAUUGUCUUCCUGUAUGUCAAUCUGCAAAGGUUAUUGUUUUCCGUGGACUGUUAUAGUGAGAUCUUACACAUAGAGUCCACUGACCCAAACAGGGUAUUUACGCUGGAUGCAUCCAUUGUGCUCUACUGUAUAUAAUGCACAUAGUACAUGGUCCAUAAUGAGGGGUUACUGUAUGUGUCAAGUUCAUUAUGUAUUUUUCCUCUCCUUUUUUCAAAUUCCCCUCCAAAUCCCUGACACAAUGUCUUAUCCUUGUUUGACCUCUCCCACUCUCCCACUGCCGUCACUCACAGUGGUCUUGGAAUGGCCUGUACUACUGACGCCUCUGGUUUGGUCACAUCCUUCGCUUUUUAGUCUUUCUCACUCUUAAUAAUCGUGUUUGUCUCGCAUGAUAAACACAGUGUGUUCUUGGGGUUUCAAACACUUAUGUGUUCAUUAAAAACGUACAUGAAACUGUGGCGGUCAACUGAAGAAUGGUCCACACAACACUUAAACUACUUCUACUUACAAGGGGAAAUAUGUUUGUUCAUUAACCAACAGAAAGUGCAAUCAUCAAUAUUAUCACCAAUGUCAAGUUUCUUCUAUUAAUCAUUCUAUUUCAUUUGGAAUUAAAGUGGGGCACAUGCUAUCAUCUCAUGUCUGUGGUUUAAAUAAUGAUUGAUAGUGAUCAGUCUAAUUGAUUGUAUUUUUGUGUUUGUGUGUGGAUUGUGUUUAUAAUCGGAAAUGUUCAACUGAAGUAUGAUCAUUUCUGUUGAGAAUGUUUAUGGGAUGAUGGGUUGAAAAUUAAAAGUGUUUAUCGUGCUUAA